UUACUGUAGGAAGGAAUCGUUGAGAAUCUUUUCAAAUGGGCCCGAGAGGCUGAUCAGCCUUUGAGGACAUAUUCUACUGGACUGUUAGGAGGUGCUAUGGAAAAUCAAGAUAUUGCUGCCAACUAUAGGGAUGAAAAUUCACAGCUGGUAAGCACCAUCUUAGAAUGAAUUGUAGCAUGCUAUGGGAGAGUAUUCCUAAAUUUAUUCUUGCUAUCUGAAUCUGAAUAAGUGAUUAUUUAUACCUUGUACUGCAGCAUAGUUAUAUCAAUAUUUCUUUCUCUUUUUAAAAAACAAAAAUUUUGGAUCCUGAAGGUUCUUUGCCACCCAGCUUCGUCUAUUUUGUUUUUGUUUUUUCCCUUUAAUGUUUUAUUUUGAGACGGUCUUUUUGUUAUUAUUGUUUUGGUAUUGGGUAUUGAACCCAGGGUGCUUUACCACUGAGCCAGAUACUCGGCCCUUUUUAUUUUGAGACAGGGUCUCUCUAAGUUGGUGAGGCUGGCCUGAAGCUUGCACUCUUCAUGCCUCAGCCUCUGAGUCACUGGGAUUAUAGAUGUAUGCAACCAUGUCUGACUCUUCCCCAUCUCUAUUUAAGAUUAAGCAUAAGGGCUGAGAUUGUGGCUCAAUGAUAGAGCACUUGCCUGGCAUGUGUGAGGCACUGGGUUCUAUUCUCAGCAUCAAUAUACCAGUAAAUAAAUAAAAUUAAAAAAUUGAUGGGCUGGGGCUGUGGCUCAAGCAGUGGCGUGCUCGGCUGUCAUGCGUGCGGCCCGGGUUCGAUCCUCAGCACCACAUACAAAAAAACAAAGAUGUUGUGUCCGCCGAUAACUAAAAAAUAAAUAUUAAAAAAAUCCUCUCUCUCUCCCCCCCCCCCACUUUCUCUUAAAAAAAAAAUUGAUCAACAAUGAAUAAAAAUGUAAAAAAAAAAAAAAGACUAAGCAUAAUAUUGCUUCUUAUGGUUGGCCCCCAAAGUAAGUGAUUAAAAGAAAAAGUUAAAAAAAAAAAAAGUUUAUUUGAAAAAUCAAUCAUGGUCAGGAUUGGUGGCACACACUUGUUAGCCCAGUGAUGUAGGAGGCUGAGGUAGGAGGAUCACAAGUUCAAAGCCAAAGCCAGUCUCAGCAACUUAGUGAAGCCCUAAGCAACUUAGCAAGAACCUGUCCUAAAAUUUAAAAAACUGGGUGGUGAUGUGGCUCAGUGGUAAAGUGCACCUGGGUUCAAUUCCUGGCACACCCCCCCCCCCAAAAAAAAAAAAUUAAUCAUGUCAUUAUAUACAGUAUAGAUAAUAUCUACAGUGUAAUAAUUAUCUACAAUGUAGAUGACAAUAUCUAACAGAAUACAACUUAUAAUAGCUUAAAGUUUGAGAAACCUUUAUGUUUGCCUUUCAAAGGCUUUUUAAAAAAAAUCCAUGAUUAAGCCAGAUGUGAUAGUGUAAGCCUGUAAUCCCAGUUUCUUGGGAGGUGAGGCAGGAUUACAAGUUCAAGAUUAGCCUUGGCAAUUUAUCGAGACCUGGUCUCAAAAUAAAAAAAAUUAAAGGGAGUUGAGAGUGUAAUUCAUUGGUGGAGUGUUCACCUCUCAUUUGUGAGUCCCUGGGAUAAAUUCCCAGUGUUGGAAAAAAAUGUAUCUACCUCUUCUGGUUGGAUGGUUCAGCCUACCUUGAAUCAUACCAGGUGAAUUUUAAAUGCCUUUUUGGUGCAAAUCUUCUGAUUUGAGUUCUUUGGGAAAUUAUAUGGGGAUGAAGCUUUUAGCCAUAGUGUAAUUUUAUCAACUUAUAGAAAUCAAAUCAACAAAUUUAUCAAAUUGUUUGCUAUUACUAGGCAUUGUACUGACGGCAUUAGUAUCCAGUUCUUUUUAAGUGGAAAUAAGAAUCAUUUUAAGAAGUAGAAAAGACAACCCCUUUUACACUGAUGUUUGUUGAUAGGUGGCAAUAGUUCUUCGAAGACUGAGGGAGCUACAGCUUCAGGAAGUGGCUUUGCGACAAGAAAAUAAGCGUCCUAGCCCACGGAAACUGUCUUCCGAGCCCCUUUUGCCUCUGGAUGAGGAAGCUGUGGACAUGGACUAUGGUGAUAUGGCAGUAGAUGUAGUGGAUGGAGAACAAGAAGAAGCUUCUGGAGACAUGGAGAUCUCCUUUCAUCUUGAUUCAGGCCAUAAGACCAGUAGUAGAGUAAAUUCAGCAACCAAACCUGAGGAAGGAGGAUUGAAGAAAAACAAGACAGCAAAACAGGGUGACAGAGAGAGCUUUAGGAAAGCCAAACAAAAGUUGGGUUUCUCAUCUUCUGAUCCAGAUCGCAUGUUUGUUGAGCUAUCUAACAGCAGCUGGUCAGAAAUGUCCCCCUGGGUGAUUGGCACCAAUUAUACCCUAUAUCCUAUGACUCCCGCUAUUGAGCAGCGACUCAUUCUCCAAUAUUUGACCCCUCUAGGAGAAUACCAGGAGGUAAGCUUAUUGGGAAGUGUAUUGUUCACACUUUGGGACUAUAUAUUUCUGGGUUAUUUAGUAGCACUUUAUACAUUUUUAUGUUUCUUAACUCUACUAAAGAAGAAAGAGGCUUUGUCCCAAACUGGUAAGGUCUUGUGUAGGUCACUUCUGGUAAAAUUUUUUCUUUCAAACUAUGGUCCUAUGUUUAUUCUUGAUGAGGAAGUAGAGGAAGAGGUGCUUAUUUCUUCUUUAUUCAAUGUGAAAAAUAAAGCCAGAAUUUAAGAUUUAUUUUUGGUCUUCCAUUUCAGUUACUUCCCAUAUUCAUGCAGCUUGGAUCACGGGAGUUGAUGAUGUUCUAUAUUGACUUGAAACAGACUAAUGAUGUCUUGCUUACAUUUGAGGCCCUCAAGGUAAAGUUGUUAUAAAUACUAGGGCACUGAGCAUUUUAUUGGUAGAAACUUUUUAUAUUUAUUCUGCUUUAUAGAGUGGGUACAGUGGGUACUGUUGUCAAGCCCCCUGCUAUUUGCAUUGUAUUCCCAGCCCUUAAACUUGUCUGCCCAGAGAGGCUAGUGGGAUUUGAACAGUAAAUGAAGAAAACUUAAAAUAUAAAAAGCUUUUCAGUUCUUUUAAAAUCUAUUCUUAUUAGUUGUAAAAAUUUCCAGUUUUGAUACUUAGGAUAGUUCUUUGGGAAUAUAUUGAGGGUCAAUUUAAAGAAGCUAAGUUCAGGACUUUAUUAAUUGAGUCAAUACUGAAUCAAAGCUAGAACACAGAACCAAUUAUAUUAAAAUAACUUAAGGGGGGGCUGGGAUGUGGCUCAAGCGGUAGCGCGCUCGCCUGGCAUGCGUGCGGCCCGGGUUCGAUCCUCAGCACCACAUACAAACAGGGAUGUUGUGUCCGCCAAAUACUAAAAAAUAAAUAUUAAAAAAUUCUCUCUCUCUCUACCUCUAUCUCUCUCACUCUCUCUUUAAAAAAAAAUAAAUAAAUAAAUAAAUAAAAUAACUUAAGGGGAAGGUUAGCAAAAGUCCUUUAGAGAGGUAUGCACAAAUAAAAUGACUUUAUAAGAUUGUAUUGUUAUUCAGCAAUAUUUUUCUUUUUUUUUGUUUUUUUGGUACUAGGGAUUGAAUAUAGGAAUACUUUACCACUAAACUAUAUCUUCAGCCCUUCUUAUUUUUUAUUUUGAGACAGGUUCUCGAUAAGUUGGUGUGGGUCUUGAUAGGAUGCUGAGCCUGGCUUCAGCCUCCUGAGUUGCUGGGAUAACUGGAGUGUACCACCACACCUGGCUUAUUGUUUUUAAUUUCACAAAAACAUUUUAGUGGACUGGGGUUGUUGCUCAGUGGUUUUGGAAGGAUUUGGGUUCAAUCUCCAGCACAAAACAAAUAAACAGACAAACCAUUUAAAAGAAACUUUGGUAUUAGGAGGGCAGAGAGUAAUGUCUUGAAAUCUUAAGGUUUUUUUUUUUUUAUUUUUGUUUUUUUCAUUUCUGUUAAUAUUGGCUUUUCUUUUUUUUUUGUGAGAAAGUGGUUGUCUACUUAGAGAAGUCUUGUAUUUAGCACUUUAAUCUUACUUUGAUGUUCAUAGAUUUUUGUGAUUCUUUAAGAUUGUUCCAUGAUAACAUGUGUCUUUGUUGUUCAGCAUCUGGCAUCUCUCCUGCUCCAUAACAAAUUUGCCACAGAAUUUGUUGCCCAUGGUGGAGUACAGAAAUUACUGGAAAUUCCUCGUCCUUCUAUGGCAGCAACUGGUGUAUCCAUGUGCUUGUAUUACCUGUCCUAUAACCAGGAUGCUAUGGAAAGAGUAAGUCCAUUCAGGUUUAUGAGAAAGGGAUUGGGUGGGGACAGACUUUAAAAGAGCACAUUGAGCUAGGCAUGGUAGCACCCUGCUAUAAUAGAAGCCAGCUGGGAGACUAAGACAGAAGGAUAGAAAGUUUGAGGCCAGGCUCAGCAGCUGAGAGAGGCCCUGUCUAAAAAUACAAAAUAAAAAGGGCUAGGGAUAUGAUUCAGUAGUAGAGCACUCCUGGGUUCAAUCUCUAGUACUAAAUAAAUAAGAUAAUCAUAGAAUAACUUGGAUGAGGAAAAAAUGAAUAGUUGUAGAACUAAAUUCUAACGAAAAAUUGCAAGGAAUAUGAACAACCACUUUUCACAAAGCAUUUUAUAAAAGUAAAAUUGUUUAGGAAAGGUUCUAAAAAAUUUCUGACUCUACUUGGAAAAUGCAGGAUGGGUUGCAGUUCUAGAAGCUUUAUUUAUUUUUUGCCAUUUCUGUGGCAUUAAAAUUAGGCACUAUUCCGAUGUUCCUCAGUAACUCCACUGAGGAACUGUUUGAAUCCGUUUAUUGCAAAAAUGAUAGAUGAUAUUUUGUGUUUAUUAUGAGAUAAUUUAUGGUGGAGAUAGUGAAAUCAUCCCAGCUCUUCUCAGGGCUAUAGUUGUUUUGUGUUUGGUUCUGCUGCUUUUCAGGUUAAUCCUCUUUUAUGCUUAGUGAUUUAAAAAAAAAAAAAAAGUAUGAGUGGUGUUGGACAUUUGAAAAGUGAAUCUCCCCCAACCCCGAACCCUUAGGGAAGGUCUUGUCAUUUCUGAAAUGUUUUUCUAAUACUCAGUGGGCAUAUCUAUUCUGCUAAAGCAAAACUGGCAAUUUUUUUUUUAAAUUGAGCUCUGUCUUUGCUUAUUCAGAUAAUCAUCUGGGUUUGGUGUCAAACAAGUUUAUAAUCCUAGCUACGUGGGAGGCCGAGGCAGGAGGAUUGCAAGUUUGAGGCUAGCCUGGGCAAUUUAGCAAGACUUUGUCUUGAAAUAAAUGUAAAAAAAGGAUUGGGGAUGUAGCUCAGUCUUAGAGUCCUUGCCUAGUAAGUGUGAAGCCCUGGGUUUGAUCUCCAGUACAGCCAAAAAAAAAAAUUUCCCCUCUUCAGUUGAACAUUAUGCAAGGAGAUUGAGAAUAGUAAACUAAGCUGUGUAUAACAAAAUUAAUUAUAGUUAAGAUAUAGAAAAAGGCAACAGACCUGGGGAAUGCUUUGUCUAACUCAUAGCAUACAUCAAAAUGCAUAUAAAUAAAUUAAUGAGUCAAUGGAAACUAAACUUGUAGACUUCGUAGGCUCAUCUACUUUUAUCACCUCAGGAAGGGUGAUAAUUUCUCUGAGCCUCUUCCUCAUCUGUUAAGUGGAGAUCAAGUAUCUAUGUAACAGGGCCAUGUGAGCAUUAAAUGAUAACAUUUGUUGGUACUCAGUAUAGGAUAAAUUAGAAUAACUAAAUUUAGGUAGUUUUCAAAGGAUGUGUUCUAAAAUUGCAUUGUAACUUAAACUAAGAAUGAUGACUGGGAAAGAUUAUUAUUUUCUGUAAAGAUAUUUAUACUGAUGAAUUUUUCAUCUCUUUCAAAGAGUCCUUUGCCCACAAUUUUUUUUAAAAAAAACUAUUAUUAUUUUAUUUUUUGCAGGUUUGCAUGCAUCCCCACAAUGUUUUGUCUGAUGUGGUGAACUAUACCCUGUGGUUAAUGGAGUGUUCUCAUGCCUCAGGAUGCUGCCAUGCUACCAUGUUUUUCUCAAUUUGCUUCUCAUUCCGGGCUGUGUUGGAACUCUUUGACCGCUAUGAUGGUCUUCGUCGUCUGGUGAACUUGGUAAGCAUUUUUUACCUUCUCUUGGCAGGAGUGCAGAGAUCCUGCUUGUUUUGGCUGCUUUUAAUAGCAUCCCAAUGAGGAGAGGAAGCUUCUGAUUGGAGGAGUUUUGUUAUCAUUCUUUGUGUACAUUUUUUUCUCCUUCUUUUGUGGUACUGAGGAUUGAAGCCAGAGCCUCAAGCAUGCUAUAGAAGGUGGGUGCUGGAGAUUGAACCCAGGGUGUCACACAGGCUCUGCCUCUGAACAACAUCCCCAGCCCCAUUCCCUUUCUCUUUAAUAGUUGGAGGACUCUUUGUGCCAUUAUAGACUGGCUUUGAAUGCAGUAAUCCUAUGUCAAUCUUGACCUUUCUAAGAGCAAAAGCUUUAUGCCUAUAUAUCUUUUAACAUAAUUAAAAGCUGCGUAAUUUUUUUUAUGUGAGUAUAAUGUUUUGUUUUCAUAUGGCUAUAGCCUGUUGUAUAUGUAGAUUUACUUUGAUAUUUGUUCAUCUUUUAGGCAUAAAAGUCUACCUUGUUUUGGGGGCUGGGGUUGUGGCUCAGUGGUAGAGUGCUUGGCUCACAUGUGUGAAGCACUGGGUUCAAUUCUCCGAACCUCAUAUAAAUAAAUGAAUAAAAUAAAGGUCCGCCAACACUAAAAAAUAUUUUUAAAAAAGUCUACCUUGUUUUCCUUUUACAUUUCUUGUCCUUUCUCCUCCUUCUGCCUCAAUUUUUAAUGUUUAUUAAUAGAUCAGUACUUUGGAGAUUCUAAAUUUGGAAGAUCAGGGUGCACUUCUGAGUGAUGAUGAAAUAUUUGCUAGCCGUCAAACUGGGAAACAUACCUGCAUGGCCUUGCGCAAGUAUUUUGAGGCUCACCUGGCCAUUAAAUUGGAACAAGUGAAACAGUCACUUCAGAGAACUGAGGGUGGCAUUCUUGUUCACCCUCAACCCCCAUACAAGGUAAGAGGUUGUAUUCUGUUUUUGUGUUAUUGGGGAUUGAAUCCAGGACCUUGUGCUUACUAGGAAAACUGAGUUACACCCAGUCCAAGGAUAUAGUUUUUAAAGAUUACUCUUGUUCCCACACACAGUUGCAUCACCAGAUCAGUGGAAUUUCUGUAAGAUAAUGCAUUGUUGAAUUUUACUUUCCCUGUAUGAAGCAAAACAAUUGAAAAUAUAUAUAAUAGGUGAAUUUCAGUGGCAUAUUUUGCUGUCAGUUACUAAGUCAUUAUUUUUCUGGGACACUAAAACUAAAGGGUGAACUUAAAUGUGUGUUAAGGAGCUCGUAAUUUUUGUUUACUGAUUUUUUUUUUGUUGUUGUUGUUUUGUUUUGUACUGGGGAUUGAAUCCAGGGUCUUGAGCAAGUGCUGUACUAGUGAGUUAUAUCCCCAGCCCUUUAAAGAGUUUUCUUCUCUGAAAAGUACUAGACAUUCUGCCUCUUGUGCAGAAUUAUUUUUGGAAAGAGUAUGUCUAUAUCUCUACUUUUCUUUCAUUUUGGAAUUUAUUUGUUAUAUUUUGGGACCAAGAUCAGUAUUUGCAUGUUUUAAAAAUCAGCAGAUUGAAAAUAUAUCAAUUCCCUGUUGCUUCUUUCUCUCUCUUUUUUUUUGGGGUGGGGUACUAGGGAUUGAACCCAGGGGCCUUUUGCUGCUCAGCUACUUACUGUGAGUCUCUUAUUUUGAGACAGGGUCUUGAUAAGAUGCUGAGGAUUUUGCUAAGUUGCUGAGACUGGCUUUGAUCUUGUGAUCUUUCUGCCUCAGCCUCUUGAGUCACUGGGAUUACAGGCAUGUACCACCAUGCCCAUCUUAUUUUUUAAGCUAUGAAACAUAUGUACAAAAUAACAUUGUUAUUUUAUUGGGAAAAAUGUGAGUCUGUAGUUAAAAAUAAACAAAUGUGGUCUGGGGUUGUGGCUCAGUGGUAAAGCACUUGCCUUGAAUUUUGAGGCACUGGGUUCGAUUCUCAACACCACAUGUAAAUAAAAAAUAAAGGUCCAUCAACAACUAAAAUAAAUAAAAUAAAAAAAAGUUAUGUAAUCAUUGUUUCACAUAUUGGCUAUUGACUCAAGAAUUAUGGUAUUGGAAAGCUAUUAUCAAAAUCUGUUGGUCACUGAGCUGUGCUUCAGAAGAUGACAGGCAGAUAAUAGAGUAUAUAUAAAAAUAACAUGUAUGUCUCCUUAUAGGCAUGUUCAUAUACUCAUGAACAGAUUGUGGAAAUGAUGGAGUUUUUGAUAGAAUAUGGCCCAGCUCAGCUAUACUGGGAACCAGCUGAAGUCUUCCUCAAACUUUCUUGUGUGCAACUCUUGUUACAGCUUAUUUCUAUUGCCUGCAAUUGGAAGACCUAUUAUGCAAGGUGGGACCAGAGAAAGGUUUCAAAUGAAGU
Molecule: long non-coding RNA, 8341 nt
Filed under: Marmota monax (woodchuck)
Lineage: Eukaryota; Metazoa; Chordata; Mammalia; Rodentia; Sciuridae
Rfam family: tRNA (bases 606-674)
Source: RNAcentral